Molecule: ribosomal RNA, 440 nt
Filed under: uncultured bacterium
Lineage: Bacteria
Description: partial 16S ribosomal RNA
Rfam family: Bacterial small subunit ribosomal RNA
Source: RNAcentral
CCUACGGGUGGCAGCAGUGGGGGAUAUUGCACAAUGGGGGGAACCCUGAUGCAGCGACGCCGCGUGUGGGAAGACGGUCCUCUGGAUUGUAAACCACUGUCCCCAGGGACGAAGAUGGCGGUACCGGGGGAGGAAGCUCCGGCUAACUACGUGCCAGCAGCCGCGGUAAUACGGAGGGAGAGAGCGUUGUACGGAAUUACUGGGUGUAAGGGGGGCGUAGGCGGGGAUGCAAGUUGGGGGUCAAAACUACCGGCUCAACUGGUAGUCGCACUCAAAACUGCAGCUCUUGAGUGAAGUAGAGGCAGGCGGAAUUCCUAGUGUAGCGGUGAAAUGCGUAGAUAUCACGAAGAACUCCGAUUGCGAAGGCAGCUUACUAAACUGCCACUGACAUUGAUGCUCGAAAGUGUGGGUAUCAAACAGGAUUAGAUACCCUUGUAGUC